GUUUCUAAAGAAGUAAUAGCAAUUCUUUUGCACAACUGCAUUGGUAGGUAUUAUGAAGGGGGGAUUUCAUAAGUAUACAUGUGGGAAGAUAAUGAAGACUUUGUGGCUUGCUACCUAAUAACGAAAGAUGGCUCAAAGUCAGGGCAUGGCCGAAGAGGUUAUUUGCAAGAAGGUGCAUGGGAUGCUAUUCAUGUUAUUGAAUACAUAUGGACAAAACUAGACAAAACUCGGGUUCAACUUCCGAAUUUGAAGUGGUG
This is a long non-coding RNA of Magnolia sinica, 257 nucleotides long. RefSeq lists it as uncharacterized. Lineage: Eukaryota; Viridiplantae; Streptophyta; Magnoliopsida; Magnoliales; Magnoliaceae. The record is from RefSeq and is a predicted model, not a curated record. The transcript is spliced from 3 exons.